GGAGGGAUGUCAGAGCGGCCGAAUGAGCACGCUUGGAAAGCGUGUAUACCUCACGGUAUCAUGGGUUCGAAUCCCAUUCCCUCCACCA
This 88-nucleotide transfer RNA is filed under the name Gammaproteobacteria bacterium. RNAcentral describes it as "tRNA-Ser". It matches the Rfam family "tRNA". From Rfam's summary of the family: Transfer RNA (tRNA) molecules are approximately 80 nucleotides in length. Their secondary structure includes four short double-helical elements and three loops (D, anti-codon, and T loops). Lineage: Bacteria; Pseudomonadati; Pseudomonadota; Gammaproteobacteria. The record is from RNAcentral. RNAcentral also lists the same sequence under 2 other names.